CCUACGGUGCGCAGCAGUGGGGAAUAUUGGACAAUGGGGGGAACCCUGAUCCAGCGACGCCGCGUGAGUGAAGAAGUAUUUCGGUAUGUAAAGCUCUAUCAGCAGGGAAGAAAGAAAUGACGGUACCUGACUAAGAAGCCCCGGCUAACUACGUGCCAGCAGCCGCGGUAAUACGUAGGGGGCAAGCGUUAUCCGGAUUUACUGGGUGUAAAGGGAGCGUAGACGGCGAUGCAAGUCUGAAGUGAAAGGCGGGGGCCCAACCCCCGGACUGCUUGGGAAACUGUAUGGCUGGAGUGCAGGAGAGGUAAGUGGAAUUCCUAGUGUAGCGGUGAAAUGCGUAGAUAUUAGGAGGAACACCAGUGGCGAAGGCGGCUUACUGGACUGUAACUGACGUUGAGGCUCGAAAGCGUGGGGAGCAAACAGGAUUAGAGACCCUGGUAGUC
This 443-nucleotide ribosomal RNA is filed under the name uncultured bacterium. Its description in RNAcentral is "partial 16S ribosomal RNA". It matches the Rfam family "Bacterial small subunit ribosomal RNA", at positions 338 to 795 of the family's 1533-position model. The record is from RNAcentral.